Molecule: ribosomal RNA, 245 nt
Filed under: uncultured Alphaproteobacteria bacterium
Lineage: Bacteria; Pseudomonadati; Pseudomonadota; Alphaproteobacteria
Description: partial 16S ribosomal RNA
Rfam family: Bacterial small subunit ribosomal RNA
Source: RNAcentral
GACAGAGGUGGCUAGCGUUGUUCGGAUUUAUUGGGCGUAAAGAGCGCGUAGGCGGUCCUUUAAGUCGGUGGUGAAAUCCCGGGGCUUAACCCCGGAAUUGCCUCCGAUACUGGAGUACUUGAGUGCGGGAGAGGGCAGUGGAAUUCCCGGUGUAGAAGUGAAAUUCGUAGAUAUUGGGAAGAACACCAGUGGCGAAGGCAGCUGCCUGGACCGCAACUGACGCUGAGGCGCGAAAGCGUGGGGAG